RNAcentral lists this ribosomal RNA (497 nucleotides) under uncultured bacterium. RNAcentral describes it as "partial 16S ribosomal RNA". It matches the Rfam family "Bacterial small subunit ribosomal RNA", at positions 28 to 507 of the family's 1533-position model. The record is from RNAcentral.
GAUGAACGCUGGCGGCGUGCCUAAUACAUGCAAGUCGAGCGAACAGACGAGGAGCUUGCUCCUCUGACGUUAGCGGCGGACGGGUGAGUAACACGUGGAUAACCUACCUAUAAGACUGGGAUAACUUCGGGAAACCGGAGCUAAUACCGGAUAAUAUAUUGAACCGCAUGGUUCAAUAGUGAAAGACGGUUUUGCUGUCACUUAUAGAUGGAUCCGCGCCGCAUUAGCUAGUUGGUAAGGUAACGGCUUACCAAGGCAACGAUGCGUAGCCGACCUGAGAGAGUGAUCGGCAACACUGGAGCUGAGACACGGUCCAGACUCCUACGGGAGGCAGCAGUAGGGAAUCUUCCGCAAUGGGCGAAAGCCUGACGGAGCAACGCCGCGUGAGUGAUGAUGGUCUUCGGCUCGUAAAACUCUGUUAUUAGGGAAGAACAAAUGUGUAAGUAACUAUGCACGUCUUGACGGUACCUAAUCAGAAAGCCACGGCUAACUACGUG